RNAcentral lists this ribosomal RNA (466 nucleotides) under uncultured bacterium. RNAcentral's name for it is "partial 16S ribosomal RNA". It matches the Rfam family "Bacterial small subunit ribosomal RNA", at positions 30 to 507 of the family's 1533-position model. The record is from RNAcentral.
CGAACGCUGGCGGCGUGCUUAACACAUGCAAGUCGAACGGAAAGGCCCUGCUUUUGUGGGGUGCUCGAGUGGCGAACGGGUGAGUAACACGUGAGUAACCUGCCCUUGACUUUGGGAUAACUUCAGGAAACUGGGGCUAAUACCGGAUAGGAGCUCCUGCUGCAUGGUGGGGGUUGGAAAGUUUCGGCGGUUGGGGAUGGACUCGCGGCUUAUCAGCUUGUUGGUGGGGUAGUGGCUUACCAAGGCUUUGACGGGUAGCCGGCCUGAGAGGGUGACCGGCCACAUUGGGACUGAGAUACGGCCCAGACUCCUACGGGAGGCAGCAGUGGGGAAUAUUGCACAAUGGGCGGAAGCCUGAUGCAGCAACGCCGCGUGCGGGAUGACGGCCUUCGGGCUGUAAACCGCUUUCGCCUGUGACGAAGCGUGAGUGACGGUAAUGGGUAAAGAAGCACCGGCUAACUACGUG